This 376-nucleotide long non-coding RNA is filed under the name Carica papaya (papaya). Its description in RNAcentral is "long non-coding RNA (CPAP_LNC015605)". The record is from RNAcentral. Lineage: Eukaryota; Viridiplantae; Streptophyta; Magnoliopsida; Brassicales; Caricaceae.
AAUAUCCUCUAGCUUUUAUACUCUUUUUGCUCAUAUGACCCAGAAAAUGGCUGAAGGUAUGAGUUGAAUUAUCUUCUUUGGCCCUUUUUUUUCUUGAAAUAAAUCUCCUUUGGCUCUUUAUUAUUGUGCCAAGCCCAGCACUCAGAAACCAUUAAGUCCCCAAGGCCUUGCCAAUAUUGAGAUAACUAAGGGCCCAUUUCAGAAGAACUAGGUUACUUGACAUCACAAAAGUAAGUAAUUUGACAUCCCUUGUGUUUAAGAUUUACUGAGAUGUACAUGUUAAACUCUUGACGACUUAUGAUUUUAGCCAUCCAAUUAUGUUUUCAGACCAACCCUACACCCAAUAGGGAGAUAUUGAAGGAGAAAAUUUGAUGUU